GACGAACGCUGGCGGCGUGCUUAACACAUGCAAGUCGAACGGAAAGGCCCUGCUUUUGUGGGGUGCUCGAGUGGCGAACGGGUGAGUAACACGUGAGUAACCUGCCCUUGACUUUGGGAUAACUUCAGGAAACUGGGGCUAAUACCGGAUAGGAGCUCCUGCUGCAUGGUGGGGGUUGGAAAGUUUCGGCGGUUGGGGAUGGACUCGCGGCUUAUCAGCUUGUUGGUGGGGUAGUGGCUUACCAAGGCUUUGACGGGUAGCCGGCCUGAGAGGGUGACCGGCCACAUUGGGACGGAGAUACGGCCCAGACUCCUCGGGGAGGCAGAAGGGGGGAAUAUUGAAAAAGGGGGGGAAGCCUGAUGCAGCACCGCGGCGUGGGGGAGGACGGCCUUCGGUUUGUAAACCGCUUCCGCCUGGGAGGAAGCGUGAGGGAGGGUAAUGGGUAAAGAAGCACGGGCUAAGCCCGUG
RNAcentral lists this ribosomal RNA (468 nucleotides) under uncultured bacterium. Its description in RNAcentral is "partial 16S ribosomal RNA". It matches the Rfam family "Bacterial small subunit ribosomal RNA", at positions 28 to 507 of the family's 1533-position model. The record is from RNAcentral.